CCUACGGGGUGCUGCAGUGAGGAAUAUUGGUCAAUGGACGAGAGUCUGAACCAGCCAAGUAGCGUGAAGGAUGACUGCCCUAUGGGUUGUAAACUUCUUUUAUAUGGGAAUAAAAUGUUCCCCGUGUGGGAUUUUUUAUGUACCAUAUGCAUAAGAAUCGGCUAACUCCGUGCCAGCAGCAGCGGUAAUACGGAGGAUCCGAGCGUUAUCCGGAUUUAUUGGGUUUAAAGGGAGCGUAGGUGGAUUGUUAAGUCAGUUGUGAAAGUUUGCGGCUCAACCGUAAAAUUGCAGUUGAAACUGGCAGUCUUGAGUACAGUAGAGGUGGGCGGAAGUCGUGGUGUAGCGGUGAAAGGCUUAGAUAUCACGAAGAACUCCGAUUGCGAAGGCAGCUCACUGGACUGCAACUGACACUGAGGCUCGAAAGUGUGGGUAUCAAACAGGAUUAGAUACCCUGGUAGUC
Molecule: ribosomal RNA, 460 nt
Filed under: uncultured bacterium
Lineage: Bacteria
Description: partial 16S ribosomal RNA
Rfam family: Bacterial small subunit ribosomal RNA
Source: RNAcentral